UCUUUGUCACAUGUGAAUUCCAAGUCCACAUGAAUUCUUCCUUCCCCCUUGCAUUAUAUCUCAAGUAUCGUCUCAACGGAUAAAGACGAUGGACAACCCCGAAGUUUAAAAGAUUGAAGAAGUUGGAUUAGAAGACCCUUUAUUUUCAGUUUUUGCAUUUUUAUUUGUAAUGGGCCUAAGCCUUUGUCGCCCUUUUAUUUACUUUGUGUUAUUGUAUUGUUUUACUAGAACUUAGGAUAGGUACAAAACAAGAGGGUCAAAAUCCCAAAACAGGUGGGUCCAAAACCGGUCAAGG
RNAcentral lists this unclassified non-coding RNA (295 nucleotides) under Hevea brasiliensis (rubber tree). Lineage: Eukaryota; Viridiplantae; Streptophyta; Magnoliopsida; Malpighiales; Euphorbiaceae. The record is from RNAcentral.